Molecule: ribosomal RNA, 486 nt
Filed under: uncultured bacterium
Lineage: Bacteria
Description: bacterial SSU rRNA
Rfam family: Bacterial small subunit ribosomal RNA
Source: RNAcentral
GACGAACGCUGGCGGCGUGCCUAACACAUGCAAGUCGAACGGGACUUAGUGGAAAGCGGCUUCGGCCAAUGGAAGCUAAGUUUAGUGGCGAACGGGUGAGUAACGCGUGAAGAACCUGCCUUUCAGUGGGGGACAACAGUUGGAAACGACUGCUAAUACCGCAUAAUGUCAUUUGGGGGCAUCCCCGAAUGACCAAAGAUUUAUUGCUGAAAGAUGGCUUCGCGUCUGAUUAGCUAGUUGGUGAGGUAACGGCUCACCAAGGCGACGAUCAGUAGCCGGCUUGAGAGAGUGAACGGCCACAUUGGGACUGAGACACGGCCCAAACUCCUACGGGAGGCAGCAGUGGGGGAUAUUGGACAAUGGGGGAAACCCUGAUCCAGCGACGCCGCGUGAGUGAAGAAGUAUUUCGGUAUGUAAAGCUCUAUCAGCAGGGAAGAAAAUACCAAAUUGACUGUACCUGACUAAGAAGCCCCGGCUAACUACGUG